This 490-nucleotide ribosomal RNA is filed under the name uncultured bacterium. RNAcentral describes it as "bacterial SSU rRNA". It matches the Rfam family "Bacterial small subunit ribosomal RNA", at positions 899 to 1397 of the family's 1533-position model. The record is from RNAcentral.
ACUCAAAUGAAUAGACGGGGGCCCGCACAAGCAGUGGAGUAUGUGGUUUAAUUCGAAGCAACGCGAAGAACCUUACCAGGUCUUGACAUCGUGCGCAUAACCUAGAGAUAGGGAAGCCCUUCGGGGCGCAUAGACAGGUGGUGCAUGGUUGUCGUCAGCUCGUGUCGUGAGAUGUUGGGUUAAGUCCCGCAACGAGCGCAACCCUUACAGUUAGUUGCUACGCAAGAGCACUCUAACAGGACUGCCGUUGACAAAACGGAGGAAGGUGGGGAUGACGUCAAAUCAUCAUGCCCCUUAUGACCUGGGCUACACACGUACUACAAUGGUCGUCAACAGAGGGCAGCGAAGGAGCGAUCCGGAGCAAAUCUCUAAAAACGAUCUCAGUUCGGAUUGUAGGCUGCAACUCGCCUACAUGAAGUCGGAAUUGCUAGUAAUCGCGAAUCAGCAUGUCGCGGUGAAUACGUUCCCGGGCCUUGUACACACCGCCCGU